RNAcentral lists this ribosomal RNA (229 nucleotides) under uncultured bacterium. RNAcentral's name for it is "partial 16S ribosomal RNA". It matches the Rfam family "Bacterial small subunit ribosomal RNA", at positions 524 to 775 of the family's 1533-position model. The record is from RNAcentral.
UACGGAGGAUGCAAGCGUUAUCCGGAAUGAUUGGCGUAAAGGGUCCGCAGGUGGCAAUGUAAGUCUGCUGUCAAGAAUGAGGCUUAACCUCAUCAGCAGUGAACUACAUAGCUAGAGUACGUCGGGUAGAAGAUCUGUGUAGCGUGAAUGCGUAGAGAUCAGGAGAACACGUGGCGAAGCGUCUGCUAGACUGUACUGACACUGAGGACGAAGCUAGGGGAGCGAAUGG